Molecule: long non-coding RNA, 3762 nt
Organism: Pongo pygmaeus (Bornean orangutan)
Lineage: Eukaryota; Metazoa; Chordata; Mammalia; Primates; Hominidae
Exons: 3
Source: RefSeq, a predicted model, not a curated record
GAGAUGAGAGUCUCACUCUGUCACCCAGACUGGAGUGCAGAGGUGCGAUCUUGGCUUACUGCAACGUCCACCUCCUGGGUUCAAACGAUUUUCGUGCCUCAGCCUCCCAAGUGGCUGGGACUACAAGUGCACACCACCACGUCCAAUUAAUUUUGUAAUUUUACUAGAGAUGGGGUUUUACCAUGUUGGCCAGGCUGGUCUUGAACUACUGACCCAUUAUUCAGUUGACGGGUGGUCUCAGCAUCCCAAAGUGCUGGGAUUACAGGCGUGGGCCACUGUGUCUGGCUGUUUGGUACAUAUAUUCUAAUGGAUCUGUAUUUCAGCAAUUCUGUACCAUGAACUCUCUCUAUAUAUACACUCUUCCUAGAUAAACUCAUUCAAUCCUACGGAUGAAUAUAUAUUGAUUAUACUGAAACUUAUUUCUCCAUGUGUGAUCUUUCCUCUGACCUCCAGAUUGUAUACAACUGCCAAAACAAUAACUAUUCUAAUGUCUUAACUGGUAUCACAAACAUAGCAAACUCCAAAGAGAAUUCAAUUACCUCUGCUUAAUCUAUUCUUCCUGUCUUUCCUAACUCAUUUUCCGCUAUCAUCAUUUACUGGGUUGGGCCCGAAAUCUAGGGAUCUUCUUGCUUAAAUCAUUCCCCAGUUUUCUCCAUCUGAGACCUGCUGGCUCUACCUUCAUAAGAGAUCUCAAAUCUGAUCACUUCUUACUAUUUCAAUCAGUACAAUCUCAAGCCAAACCAUCAUCACAUUUCACCUGGGCUAUUUCAAAGACCUCCUAGCUAGUCUCCUUAUUUCCAGUAUUGCCCUUCCCCUUUAUUCUCCAUAAAACAGUCUAAAUAUCUUAAAAUGCAGUCAGAAAUUAUCCCCUGAAUUUGGACUACCUUUCAGUGUAUUUCCUUUACUCUUAAAACAAAAUUCAAACACCUCACCACGCUUGAGAGGGCCAAUGUGUCCUGUCUCCCAAUUACCUCUCCAAUUUCAACUCCUACCAGUCUCCGUUUUCGCUUACUAUCUUCAAGCCACACUGACUUGCUUGCUGUUUCUCAAGAAGGCAAGCUUGCUCUCAUUUCAGAGUUUUUACCUAUUUCUUCUGCUUAGAAUGUUCUUUCUUAAAAUCUCGGAAUAGUUGACUUCUUGUCACUUAAGCCUCUAUUAAAAUAUUGUGUCACAAAUACCACACACCUCAUUCCUGAUCACCCUAUCAAUAAAAUGGUUACUCUUACCCUUAGGUUGCUGCCUAACUCAUUAACCUGUCAGUUUCUUCAAAUCACUUACCGUUAACUGUCUGCCACUACUACCAAAAAAAGUAUGGUCUGUUAAAAACUCACUACUGUAUUCCAAAUACCUAAAACAGUACCAGGCAUUUAAUAAUAAUAGAUAACCCUGUGCUACAUACUGUUUUAAGUGCUUUAGAUGUACUUAUUCAGUUAACCCUUACAACAACCUUGUCCAAACAGUGGGCAAGCACUUAUUGCUAUCUCCAACGAACAGAUGGAAAAAAGAGGCUGAGGGAGGUUAACCUAAAAUUUGCCCAAAGUCACAGAGCAGGCAAAUGGCACUGCCAGGAUCUGAACCCAGGCAGUCUAGCUUGACUACCACACAUACUGCCUACUGUUUCUGAUAUUAGACAUAAAGGAAACACUUUAAAAAACCUGUUAAAUGGGAUGGGCGCGGUGGCUCAUGCUUGUAAUCCCAGCACUUUAGGAGGCCAAGGCGGGUGGAUCACCCGAAGUCAGGAGUUCGAGAUCAGCCUGGCCAACGUGGUGAAACCCUGUCUCUACUAAAAAUACAAAAAUUAGCCAGACAUGACAGCAGGAGCCUGUAUUCCCAGCUACUUGGGAGGCUGAGGCGUGGUGGGUAAAUCCGAAUAAAAAUGAGAAGAGCUGCAUUCUAACUAGCUCUGCCACUUAAUGGCAUGACUGGCACUUUUCAGAAAGUUGUGCCUCACUGGAAUGUUUCAAAAAUAUGUAAAAAUAAUAUGAUCUAUAAGACAAUCAAAAACGCUUCAAAUAAGCCGCGGGUUAUAUUACAUAAUAUCCCUUAAGUCUGGCAGUGUUGGCAAUGGCAGACAACACCAUGAAACUGAAAGCAUCCCUUCAGUCUGAAACUAGCAAAAAGGCUACACAUUUACAAAGUCUCACAUCAGCUGAAAAUAAUACACCCAUCACUUCUAUCUUUGGCAUGGUGUAUUCUGACAGUGGUGGAUAGAAUGUAACUACUUGCUUUAUUAAUUAUGAGAUGACUGAAAGAGGAACUACUAACCAAGAAAUUGGUAAAGGCCUAGCACAAAUAUUUUCCCCCUAAUUUUACAGGGGCCAGAAAGACCUGAAGAAUUUCAAAACCAAGUGGGAAAUAAGAAUGGGUAACUUGUGUAUUUUUUUUUCCUGGCUUUUUUUUUCUUCUUCCGAAGUCAACAAAGGCCUCAGGGUGUCCAGAUUGCUACUGAUUCAUUCUUACCAAGUUCCUUCUGGUAAUAGUUUUCAAAAGAGGAUCUCAGUGGAGGUGCACGGUGGCGCUCCUAGCUUUCUUUUUACGGGAAGGAGGAAAGGUGCUGGGCACCAGUCGGGGAAGCUCACGCCAAGUGACCGGGACCAGAACUCGCUCUCGACCGGAGCCCCCCAAGUCUGGUGACUUGGAGGAAGGAGGAUCCCGAAUCCCAGCCAGAACUGAGAAAGCGCUCAAAGGUGAGGAAAGGUGACUUUUCCCUCAGGAAAGCCGGGAACAGCAGAGGCCCUAGCCCACGUCGCCACACCCACUCCGCGCGCGCCCCUUGCCUCCCAGGGCCGGCUCUGCUCGGCCCCGCGGCCUCUCGGGCGCCCCCAGCCAGCCGGAAAGAAAGAAGCAGAAACCCGGAGCCUGGGUCCCACCCGCGACCCCUCACCUUCGCCCUUCUCGUCCUCUCACCUGCCAGUCCCCCAGGAAGAACAGGACGCCUCUUCCCCCUGAUGCACGGCCACAGGCUCGGAUCCUUCCAUUGCCGCCUGAGACACCGCCGCCGGCUACUGGGAGGUUCUGCUCUAGCACUAAGAUAAUGCUACAGGACUGAAGAUAAUGAAAAAGACUGAAGAAAGCAGAAACAGAACAAAAAUCGGAUUAUUUCAAAGUUUCUUUCCUUGUAAAGGUUAAAACAGCAUACUUCCUUCUUAUGCCCACUAGGUUAACUAGAAUCGCCUGUUUUUUUUUAAAAAAAAAACUGGCUCAUUUUUCCAAAAUCCGCUUUAAUUACAUGGUGCUUAGCACAAGCAACUCCAUUCUGGUUUGAUCUGAUGAGGCCUAGUGUAGAAGGCUAGGCCAAAACAAUGGCCUGCCAUUACCCACACUUCUUCAUAUUUUAACCUCCAUGAAUAGAGGAUGAUUUUUUUAAAAAUAAAUACAGAAAACAAUGAUGCAUCUUAAAAUUGAGGGCGUGUUAGAUUUGAUAAAAUAUGGUGUGAAUUAUUUCAGGCGUGUAACAAGCAACCAGAUUUAACAGAUUUUAAUGUUUUGUCACAUAUGUAAAAUGGGAAAGAAAACUAGGCUAUCACAGCUUUUUGACAGUGAGGCUUUAUGUCAUAAGAAAGUAGAAUGACAUAUUGAGGAAACUUAAGGGAAAAAUGUGUACGCCAAAGAUUUUACAUUCAGCAAAACUAACUCAUAUACAAAAGGUACAAACUGUUAUCAACAAUUGAUAUAUCAAUUUGAUGAGACUAGUGUUUUCAUGAGCCCCUCCUGAAUAAUUAAUUGGAGAAAGAGUGUCUGACAAUCAGAAUUAUUACAGAA